UGAGGAAUUUUGCGCAAUGGGCGAAAGCCUGACGCAGCGACGCCGCGUGGGCGAUGAAGCUUCUUGGAGUGUAAAGCCCUGUCAGGUGGGACGAAUCCGGGGGUGUGAAUAAUGCCUCCCGCUGACGGUACCACCAGAGGAAGCCCCGGCUAACUCCGUGCCAGCAGCCGCGGUAAUACGGAGGGGGCAAGCGUUGUUCGGAAUCACUGGGUGUAAAGGGUGCGUAGGCGGUCCGUUAAGUCUGAUGUGAAAGCCCUGGGCUCAACUCAGGAACUGCAUUGGAAACUGGCGGACUGGAGUACCGGAGAGGGAAGCGGAAUUCCUGGUGUAGCGGUGAAAUGCGUAGAUACCAGGAGGAACACCGGUGGCGAAGGCGGUUCCUGGCCGAGUACUGACGCUGAGGCACGAAAGCGUGGGGAGCGAACGGGAUUAGAUACCCGGUAGUCCACGCUGUAAACGAUGGGUGCUAGGUGUUGGGGGUAUCGACCCUCCAGUGCCGUAGCUAACGC
This 509-nucleotide ribosomal RNA is filed under the name uncultured bacterium. RNAcentral describes it as "bacterial SSU rRNA". It matches the Rfam family "Bacterial small subunit ribosomal RNA", at positions 355 to 858 of the family's 1533-position model. The record is from RNAcentral.